This 76-nucleotide transfer RNA is filed under the name Sphingobacteriia bacterium. RNAcentral describes it as "tRNA-Val". It matches the Rfam family "tRNA". From Rfam's summary of the family: Transfer RNA (tRNA) molecules are approximately 80 nucleotides in length. The record is from RNAcentral. Lineage: Bacteria; Pseudomonadati; Bacteroidota; Sphingobacteriia.
GGGCGAUUAGCUCAGUUGGUAGAGCGUCACGUUUACACCGUGAGGGUCGGCAGUUCGAGUCUGUCAUCGCCCACCA